AUUGAACGCUGGCGGAAUGCUUUACACAUGCAAGUCGAACGGCAGCACGGACUUCGGUCUGGUGGCGAGUGGCGAACGGGUGAGUAAUGUAUCGGAACGUGCCCAGUCGUGGGGAUAACGUAGUGAAAAUUACGCUAAUACCGCAUACGAUCUAUGGAUGAAAGCGGGGGAUCGCAAGACCUCGCGCGAUUGGAUCGGCCGAUAUCAGAUUAGGUAGCUGGUGGGGUAAAGGCCCACCAAGCCAACGAUCUGUAGCUGGUCUGAGAGGACGACCAGCCAAACUGGAACUGAGACACGGUCCAGACUCCUACGGGAGGCAGCAGUGGGGAAUUUUGGACAAUGGGCGAAAGCCUGAUCCAGCCAUUCCGCGUGCAGGAUGAAGGCCCUCGGGUUGUAAACUGCUUUUGUACAGAACGAAAAGGUUUCUACUAAUACUAGGAGCUCAUGACGGUACUGUAAGAAUAAGCACCGGCUAACUACGUGCCAGCCGCCGCAGUAA
This 499-nucleotide ribosomal RNA is filed under the name uncultured bacterium. RNAcentral describes it as "partial 16S ribosomal RNA". It matches the Rfam family "Bacterial small subunit ribosomal RNA", at positions 30 to 523 of the family's 1533-position model. The record is from RNAcentral.